Molecule: ribosomal RNA, 561 nt
Filed under: uncultured bacterium
Lineage: Bacteria
Description: bacterial SSU rRNA
Rfam family: Bacterial small subunit ribosomal RNA
Source: RNAcentral
CGGUGGGUGUGGCACUGGAUCCUGAGCCUGACCCAGCCAUGCCGCGUGCAGGAAGACGGUCCUCUGGAUGGUAAACUGUUUUUAUACGGAAAAAAACCCCGGUUCGUGAACCGGCUUGACGGUACCGUAAGAAUAAGGAUCGGCUAACUCCGUGCCAGCAGCCGCGGUAAUACGGAGGAUCCAAGCGUUAUCGGGAAUCAUUGGGUUGAAAGGGUACGUAGGCGGCCUUAUAAGUCAGUGGUGAAAUCUCCUAGCUCAACUAGGAAACUGCCAUUGAUACUGUAGGGCUUGAAUAAUUAGGAAGUAACUAGAAUAUGUUUCGUAGCGGUGAAAUGCUUAGAUAUUACAUGGAAUACAAAUUGCGAGGGCAGGUUACUACUAUUUUAUUGACCCUAAUGGAAGAAAGCGAGGGUAGCGAACAAGAUUAGAUACCCUGGUAGGCCACGCCGUAAACAAUGGAUACUAGCUGUUGGGAUUUAUUUCAGUGGCUAACCGAAGGUGAUAAGUAUCCCACCUGGGGAGUACGAGCGCAGGUUUGAAACUAGAGGGAAUUGACGGGGG